GUCUAUAAGCAAAAGAUUGGGGUGGAUCUGGGUUUGCAGUCCUUGGGCACACCCCAUACUUUGGGUAACCUUCGGUAGCAGCGUGUAUUGAGUUACGUCUCAGGAAGCCUACCAGCUGAGCACCUCACUGGGAGUAUUUUGUCUGAAACGGGCCUGUGCAGGGCUGACCUCAGGACUCCUCUGUGUGCAGAUUUCUGUUUACUAGUCCAUUCACUUAACCUAUCAAUGGACGUGCCAUUUACACUUCGAGAAGAAAGAAAAAUAUCAUCUGCUAACAACAUUUGACCACAAGUUAAGACGAAACAGAAACGGAACAUGGUGAUACAAGCAGAUGAAAAAAACCCAGGUGAAGAAAAAGAAGCCUGGAUUAGUUGAUUUUCUCAAGGUCACAGAGGAAGAACUGAGCCAAAGACUCAGGUCUGAAGAAAGGGGAUGCUGCCUAAAGGAGGCAAUUCUUGUGCAAUAAAUCCAGACUGCAAAUAAAGCAAGGCAAGAGGGAGGAAAAUCACAAUGCAAGAAGUUUCCUUUGUUUACUAUGUUUAAUUGGGAUUCCACACUUGAAUGAAGAAGAGAAGAGGUUCUCUCCCAGGGUGACUGGGAAGGCGAAAAAAGGUCUCCUUCCCAACGCACUCUGCCUUCUGCACUCAGAGGCUGAUGAGAACAAACAGGGAAGAGUAAAAACAACAGCUGCCGCAGCCUCGCUUCUUGUAGAGCUUCCUCUGAUGAGCUGUCCGCAGAACCUUCCUUGGGCUGGCAGGAAAGGGCAGGGCUGAAGGGGUGGGCUGGAGAAUUAGGUGGGGGCUGCAGCAAGGAGCAGGGUGUGGUGUUGUUGUUAUCAUUCCCAGCAACUCACGCCCUUCCUGAAAGAGGAUUACACAGCUUGUGGUGUCUCCUGUGGGGGAGUGCACACUGUACCUCGGACGUCAGGCUUGGGGAUGUGAGUACUCUGGCCACUGGCGUGUGGGAGACCUUGACUAUGUCUCAUCUGAGCAAAAGCUUUAAGAGUCUGCGAUGGACUGAAGGGUUGUUUUUCCCCAGAAUUCACAUACUAAAGCCCUACCCCGCCAGUGUGAUGGUAUUUGGAGGUACGGCCUUUGGGAGCUGAUCAAGUCAGGAGGAUGGGAUUAGUGUCCUUUUCAGAAGAGAUGCAAGAGAGACAGUCUCUUUCCAGCCAUGUGAGGACACAGUGAGAAGGUGGCUGUCUACGAGCCAGGAAGUGGACCCUCACCAGACACUGUAUCUGCUGGUACCUUGAUCUUGGACUCCCCAACCUCCAGACCUGGGAGAAAUAAAUGUUUGUAGUUUAAGUUA
Long non-coding RNA from Manis javanica (Malayan pangolin), 1311 nucleotides. RefSeq lists it as uncharacterized. The record is from RefSeq and is a predicted model, not a curated record. NCBI's taxonomy places the organism in Eukaryota, Metazoa, Chordata, Mammalia, Pholidota, Manidae.